Pseudopipra pipra is the source of this 343-nucleotide long non-coding RNA. RefSeq lists it as uncharacterized. The record is from RefSeq and is a predicted model, not a curated record. Lineage: Eukaryota; Metazoa; Chordata; Aves; Passeriformes; Pipridae. The transcript is spliced from 2 exons.
AGCUCAGAGCAGCCUGUUUGGUCACUCCCUCCUGCCAGAGGGGAAAGGAUUGCUGGGCUUGGAUCUACAUCAGUCCUGCCAAGGGAGAUAAGCACAGAAUGGGAGAAGAGGAGCAAAGAUCCUUGGCUUCCUUCUCUAAACAUCAGCAAACAGAGAGAGGGGGAUGGAUCCAGCACGAGAUUGAUCUGAACACCAUGACUUGUUCCAUGUCAAAUGAAACAUAAAAUUAAGGUCUUUCCCAGUGGCUGUAAAGCAGGGUGAACAUCUCAGUGCUGGAUCUCAAGGAUCAGCACAGCUAAAGCUCUGUGAAACUUCCAACUAAAAUUCCCUCUCUGCUUUGAAA